CCCUUAGAUGUCCUGGGCCGCACGCGCGCUACACUGAACGGAUCAGCGCGUUUUCCCUUCCCGAGAGGGACGGGUAACCUGCUGAACCCCGUUCGUGGUAGGGAUCGGGGCUUGCAAUUAUUCCCCGUGAACCAGGAAUGCCCAGUAAGUGCAAGUCAUAAGCUUGCGUUGAUUACGUCCCUGCCCUUUGUACACACCGCCCGUCGCUACUACCGAUUGAACGUUUUAGUGAGGUACUCGGACUGAGCCUCAGAAGAUUCACGUCUUUUGUGUUGCUCGGGAAGAUUCCCAAACUUGAGCGUUUAGAGGAAGUAAAAGUCGUAACA
This 326-nucleotide ribosomal RNA is filed under the name uncultured eukaryote. RNAcentral's name for it is "partial 18S ribosomal RNA". It matches the Rfam family "Eukaryotic small subunit ribosomal RNA", at positions 1470 to 1796 of the family's 1831-position model. The record is from RNAcentral.